GACGAACGCUGGCGGCGUGCUUAACACAUGCAAGUCGAACGGAAAGGCCCCUCUCGUGGGGUGUGCUCGAGUGGCGAACGGGAGUGAAACACGUGUGUAACCUGCCCUUGACUGUGGGAUAUCUUCAGGACACUGGCUCAUAUACCGGAUAGGAGCUCCUUCCGCGGGGUGGGGGUUGGAAAGUCUGGGCGGUUGGGGAUGGACUCGCGGCUUAUCAGCUUGUGGGUGGGGUAGUGGUUUACCAGGUCUUUGACGGGUAGCCGGCCUGAGAGGGUGACCGGCCACAUUGGGAUUGAGAUACGGCCCAGACUCCUACGGGAGGCAGCAGUGGGGAAUAUGCAACAAUGGGCGGAGGCCUGAUCAAGAACGGCCGCGGGCGGGAUACCGGCCUUCGGGUGUAAACCCGCUUUCGCCAGGAACGAACCGUGUGUGACGGUAAUGGGUAAAGAAGCACCGGCUAACUACGUG
This 468-nucleotide ribosomal RNA is filed under the name uncultured bacterium. Its description in RNAcentral is "partial 16S ribosomal RNA". It matches the Rfam family "Bacterial small subunit ribosomal RNA", at positions 28 to 507 of the family's 1533-position model. The record is from RNAcentral.